UACAGAGGGGGCAAGCGCUGUUCGGAAUUACUGGGCGUAAAGGGCGCGUAGGCGGCCUGUUAAGUCAGACGUGAAAUCCCUCGGCUCAACCGGGGAACUGCGUCUGAUACUGGCGGGCUUGAAUUCGGGAGAGGGAUGUGGAAUUCCAGGUGUAGCGGUGAAAUGCGUAGAUAUCUGGAGGAACACCGGUGGCGAAGGCGGCAUCCUGGACCGACAUUGACGCUGAGGCGCGAAAGCCAGGGGAGCAAACGGG
This 253-nucleotide ribosomal RNA is filed under the name uncultured bacterium. Its description in RNAcentral is "partial 16S ribosomal RNA". It matches the Rfam family "Bacterial small subunit ribosomal RNA", at positions 524 to 776 of the family's 1533-position model. The record is from RNAcentral.